UGCUGGGAUUACAAGCGUGAGCCACCGCACGCGGCCUCAGCCACAUUUAUUAAUUUCACUCUUGGCAAACAUCAGGGGGAAGCUGACCCACACGGCCUGGGAAGGGGGUUGUCUUUUGCAUAGAGACCAUGACCAGGUCUGGGACAGAGGAAAGUCAAAUAAAUCACACAUUAGAGUUAGAAGCAGAGGCUCAGGCUGAGCCCAGGUUUAUUAUCCAAAAUCAAAAUGAAAUGCAGUGAUUAAAGGACACAA
This is a long non-coding RNA of Homo sapiens (human), 252 nucleotides long. RefSeq annotates it as GSTT1 antisense RNA 1. The transcript has a single exon. The record is from RefSeq and is marked validated. NCBI's taxonomy places the organism in Eukaryota, Metazoa, Chordata, Mammalia, Primates, Hominidae.